AGUGAACGCUGGCGGUAGGCCUAACACAUGCAAGUCGAACGGCAGCACAGUAAGAGCUUGCUCUUACGGGUGGCGAGUGGCGGACGGGUGAGGAAUACAUCGGAAUCUACUUUUUCGUGGGGGAUAACGUAGGGAAACUUACGCUAAUACCGCGUACGACCUACGGGUGAAAGCAGGGGAUCUUCGGACCUUGCGCGAUUGAAUGAGCCGAUGUCGGAUUAGCUAGUUGGCGGGGUAAAGGCCCACCAAGGCGACGAUCCGUAGCUGGUCUGAGAGGAUGAUCAGCGACACUGGAACUGAGACACGGUCCAGACUCCUACGGGAGGCAGCAGUGGGGAAUAUUGGACAAAGGGCGCAAGCCUGAUCCAGCCAUACCGCGUGGGUGAAGAAGGCCUUCGGGUUGUAAAGCCCUUUUGUUGGGAAAGAAAAGCAGCAGGUUAAUACCCCGCUGUUCUGACGGUACCCAAAGAAUAAGCACCGGCUAACUUCGUG
RNAcentral lists this ribosomal RNA (492 nucleotides) under uncultured bacterium. RNAcentral's name for it is "partial 16S ribosomal RNA". It matches the Rfam family "Bacterial small subunit ribosomal RNA", at positions 29 to 507 of the family's 1533-position model. The record is from RNAcentral.